GCUUGAGGAAGAGUACUAAAAUCUUGGUUUUUAUACAGAAUUGUGCCAUGGCAACGCAAAAACCUGGGGAAUGGGUGCAGUCGCUCAUUUCCCGGUUUGAUGCACAGUUGCCAAUAAAGACGGGACUGCACACGACCCAGUCUGUGCAGAAUGUGAAGCAGAACAAGGAAUGCCUGGUGAAUGUGAGCAAGUACAAGUUCUCACUGGUGAUCAACGGCCUUACCAAGACCUUGCAGUCAGUCUCGCUCAUGCGAAUCUAUCAUCAAGAAGCAGAACGAAACCAUUAUGAAUCACAGCUGAUAAUUCUGGACACAUUGAAGCAGGUUUUGAAUUCUCAACCCAAGGAUACAUCUCGUCUAGAUGAGGCUAUGUACGUCAAGUUGCUUCUCCCAGAAAUUUGCAAGUUCCUAAACCAGCAGAGUGACAACCCAGUCGUUCCUCAACUCAAGAAGCUGGCGUCGGAAGUUCUCUUUGCUCUCAGUCUCAACAACUUUACAGCAGUCUUCAACAGAAUCUCAGCCAGAUUGGUGACGCUGUCGACCUGCAGUGAAGAUGCCUCUGACCUCUCUGAUCUUGAACUGAUUCAACACAUGAACAUGGACCUCAUUCGCUUGAGCAGACUGCUUAACGAGGUCGUGUCAAAGUUCAAGUCUCUGAAGUCCCGUCAUGUGAUCAUUACCCUGGGACAGAACCUGGAGAAAGCGAUCUGGAACUGGAUGGAUAAUUACCCAUCGGAGUUCACCGACCUGCAGAAGAGACCAAAUGAUGAACUUCAAGACUGCUGUGAUAAACUGUUUGAGCAUUUCAACACACUGGUGGAGGGGUCCAAGCGGAGGGUGUCGGUGUGGCCUCUUCAGAUGAUGCUACUUAUCCUCUGUCCUAAAAUUCUAGAAGAAAUCAACAAUGCCGACACAGGGGCCCCGUGCUCUUCACAACAUCUCAGGAAGAAACAUUUCAUUGAUGAGGUUAAAAAGGCGAUUGCGUGCCAUGGAGGGAACAAACAGUUUACAGAAGGCGCCGCGGUCACGUGCGUUCGUCUGUGCAAGGCUUCCACGUACAUCAGUAUCAACGACAGCCUCAAUGUCUUGUUCUCCCUCGUUCAGUCGGUCAUGCAGGAUCUCAAAAAUCUACUGUUCAGUCCUCCCUCCAACAGCAAGCCUUUCUACAAAGGUCAGAACAUGUACGGCCAAGACCUUGACCUUUACAUCGACUGCUUUGUGUCGUGUUUCCGCAUCACGCCGCACAACAAUGACGUUCUGAAAGUCUGCCUUAACGGUCAUUCUCCGCCAAUGUACCACUUCGUUCUUGUGAAUGCCUUACACCGAAUUAUAACGCAGGCACGUCUUCCUUGGUGGCCUGACAUCAGUCUGAUCUAUGGUAAAGCCGGGGAACUCCGAAACAUGUUCACUGACAUCGUCAACAAAGUCACACAGGGCUUCAGUAGCCACAACUGUCCAAAGACUAUAGCCAAGGUGACUGCAUCCAUCAAGCUGACGUCAAAAGCUACCGAUGAAACAUUCACAAGCUACAAGUACAUUCUUUUGUGGCUUGUAAAACUCAUCAAUGCCGACCCAUACCUCAUGUUGCAUAAUCAAGGUAAACCGGGACACGAGAUUCAGAGGAGUACGUUAGAGCUGAUCACUGGUCUUGUGUCUCUUGUUCAUCAACAGUGGAUGCCAGACGUCGCACAGAAAGCCAUGGAGGCUCUGCUAUGUCUGCACCAACCAGAGAACAUUGAGCUGUGGAAUCCAGAAGCACCAAUCAACACAUUCUGGGAUAUAAGCUCACAAGUUCUGUUCUACAUAUCCCAGCGACUGAUUCAGCACCAGAUCGUCAACUACACAGAGAUUCUCAAGUGGUUGCGCGACAUCCUCGUCUGUCGCAACCGCUUCCUACAGAAACACAGCACAAACGCCAACGUUGGCAGCAACAUUCCAGUCUGCAUACAGGCUCAUAUCAAGCUGGAGGUGGUAUUUUUUGUCUACCUGUGGAGUAUAGACAUGGAAGCUGUUCUGACAGCAAUGUCGUGUUUCCGUCUACUCUGCGAGGAAGCCGACAUUCGCUGUGGCGCCGAUGAGAUGGCCGUCACUCAGCUGUUGCCAAACUACAACGUGUACGCAGAGUUGGCAGCGGCAAGCACUGUCCUCACCACAGGAAGAGCAGCAUUGCAGAAAAGAAUUAUGGCUCUGUUAAGAAAAAUAGACCAACCAACGCCAGGAAACUCCCAGGCCUGGGAGGACACAUUCAGAAACUGGGACAUGGUCACUCGGUAUCUUGAAUCUUACCCCAAGGUCAAGUUUGAUGAAGGUCAGAGGGAAAUAGCUGAGAUGAUCAAACUGAAGAGAAAACCACCACAUCAUCCCAGUACUGAACAUGAACUAGAGGACCAACUCAAUGAGUGGGCCAACAUGACAGGCUUCCUGUGUGCGCUGGGAAGUGUGCGGCUGCAGAACAAGUGUCAGAAAGUCAGCACGACAGCACUGUCCGGACUACAGGUAGACACAGGACGGAAAAGCAGCUUGAUGCAGAGUUGUGCUAAUGACUCACAGUACUGUCCAGUUACACAAUUUAUUGGCAACCUUCUGAAACUGCUGAUAUUUCAGAAUGAGAAGUUUGGUGCUCAGAUUCAGAAACACGUCAAGGAGCUGGUUGGCCAUGAGUUGAACCCGGCUCUGUAUCCCAUUCUGUUUGAUCAGAUCAAAGUAUCGGUCGACAAGUACUUCGACUCAACCGGACAGGUGAUAGUGCUGGACAUGAACACCCAAUUCAUAGAGAACGUGAUCUUCAUCAUGAAGAACAUUCUGGAGAUGAAGUCCGAUCAACCGUGUGAAUACCUCGGUCUGACCAGCAUCGAGUCUCUCAUGUUGACCAUUGUCAGAUACGUUCGCCACUUGGAUUCAUCAGUCCAUGCUAUCCAGAUAAAAACAAAACUGUGUCAGCUGGUUGAAGCGAUGAUGCAACGUCGAGAUGAACUGACAUUCAGACAAGAAAUGAAGUUCCGAAACAAACUGGUUGAGUAUUUGACUGACUGGAUCAUGGGAAAUUCUCACCAAGUGAACAUCCAGGGAGAUAUCUGUAGUAUGUCAAGCAGGGACCUGGAUCAGGCGAGUAUGGAGGCAGUGGCGGCCCUACUGGCGGGUCUGCCACUGCAGCCGGAGGAGAGCGAUCGCGGGGACCUCAUGGAGGCCAAGUCGCAACUCUUCCUCAAGUACCUGACACUGUUCAUGAAUCUCCUGAAUGACUGCUCGGAAGAGGAACAGGACAAGGCCAUGGAUCCCAACAGGAAACGAAGCAUGUCCAAUCUGAGCGCGCUCAGAAACUGCACGGUGCAGGCAAUGUCUAACCUGCUGAAUGCUAACAUUGACAGUGGACUGAUGCAUUCCAUCGCUUUGGGGUAUCACAAAGAUCCACAGACACGGGCGGCCUUUAUGGAGGUUCUGACUAAGAUCUUGCAGCAGGGCACAGAAUUUGAGACACUGGCCGAGACAGCACUGGCCGACCGAUUUGAGAGGCUGGUAGAGCUCGUCACGAUGAUCGGAGACAAGGGAGAACUGCCCAUCGCCAUGGCGUUAGCAACAGUCGUGUCCAACUCACAAAUGGAUGAACUGGCUCGUGUGUUUGUCAACCUGUUUGAUGCGAAGCGACUGUUGUAUAUCCUCCUCUGGAACAUGUUCACUAAAGAGGUUGAAAUUGCAGACUGCAUGCAGACGUUGUUCCGUGGAAACAGCCUGGCGAGUAAGAUCAUGGCGUAUUGUUUCCGUUUCUAUGGUCAGAGCUAUUUACGGGAAUUGCUACACCCUCUGAUUAGCCAGAUGUUCUUGAUGGAAGAAAACCACUGCUCAUUUGAGAUUGAUCCAGCCAGGCUGGAGCCAGGUGAAAACAUUGAUGCUAAUAGAAGGAACUUGCUGACAAUAACUCAAAAGGUCUUCAAUGCUAUUGUUGGAUCAGCACCAAGGUUUCCAGCGAAAUUGCGUGGUAUGUGCCACUGUCUAUACCAAGUGGUAACUCAGCGUUUUCAGCAAAGCAGUGCCGAGGCGGUGUGGACAGUGAUUGGCACUGUGAUAUUCUUACGCUUCAUCAAUCCUGCCAUAGUUUCUCCUUACGAGUCUGGCAUCGUGGAGGAGGAGCCGACGCCCCGUAUAAAGCGUGGCCUGACGCUGAUGUGUAAGAUAAUGCAGAACAUCGCCAACCAUCUCCUCUUCACCAAGGAGCAGCACAUGACGGCCAAUAACGAGUUUCUCAUGAACAACUUCGAGGCAGGAAGGAGAUUUUUCACUGAAAUUGCCUCUGAUUGUGAAACUCUGGAUGCUGGAAACCACAGUUUGUCAUUCAUUAACGAUGCAAACGUCUUGGCCUUGCACCGUCUGUUGUGGAACAACCAGGAAAAGAUUGGAGACUACCUCUCUAGUAGCAGAGAUCACAAGGCAGUCGGCAGACGUCCCUUUGAUAAGAUGGCCACCCUGCUUGCAUACCUGGGACCCCCAGAGCAUCGGCCGUUAGAUUCACAAUGGAGCAGCAUGGACAUGACCAGCACCAAGUUUGAGGAAAUCAUGUCAAAACACAACAUGCAUGAGAAGGAUGAGUUCAAGUCGCUGAAGAAUCUCCACAUCUUCUACCAGGCUGGAACCAGCACCAGUGGAAACCCAGUCUUCUACUACAUCGCGCGCAGAUACAAAGUUGGGGAAAUCAAUGGAGACCUACUCAUCUACCAUGUUCUGUUGACCCUGAAGCCAUUUUAUCACAAACCAUUUGAACUUGUCAUUGACUUCACACACACCUGCUCUGAGAACAGGUUUAGGACUGAUUUUCUGUCCAAGUGGUUUGUCGUGAUGCCAGAAAAUGUCUACCUCAAUAUCGUGGCUGCCUACAUCUACAACUGUAACUCAUGGGUGCGAGAGUACACCAAAUAUCAUGACAGAAUUCUUGCCCCACUCAGGAACAACAGGAAGCUGCUAUUUAUAGAUCAUCCAGCCAAGCUUAGCGAGUACAUCCACGUGGAUCAUCAGAAGUUGCCAGGAACAACCGUCGCCCUCGAAGAAGAUCUCAAAGUGUUCAACAACGCUCUCAAACUCUCCCACAAAGACACAAAAGUAGCCAUAAAGGUUGGUCCAAAUGCUAUCCAGGUAACGUCGUCGGAGAAAAGCAAGGUUUUGGGUCACCAGGUUUUACUCAAUGAUGUGUAUUACGCUGCUGAGAUUGAAGAGGUGUGCCUUGUGGAUGACAACCAGUUUACCCUGACUAUAGCCAAUGAGAGUGGCCCUCUGUCAUUCAUCCAUAACGACUGUGAUAACAUUGUACAAGCGAUCAUACAUAUCCGCACACGAUGGGAGCUGUCGCAACCGGACACUGUGACAGUUCACACCAAAAUCAGACCAAAGGAUGUCCCAGGAACACUUCUUAAUGUUGCAUUGCUGAAUUUAGGCAGCUCUGACCCAAGUCUUCGGUCUGCUGCGUACAACUUGCUGUGUGCCCUCACCCAGACCUUUGACCUCAAGAUAGAAGGACAGCUUCUUGAAACCAAUGGACUGUGUAUUCCUGCCAACAACACGAUCUUCAUCAAGUCUAUCAGUGAGAAGCUGGCGGAGAAGGAGCCUCACCUGACCCUGGAGUUUCUCGAGGAGUGUAUUCAGGGCUUCGGUAACUCCAACAUAGAGAUGAAGCACUUGUGUCUUGAGUACAUCACACCUUGGUUACCAAACCUCACCAGAUUCUGCAAGCAGUGCGAUGAGAACAAGAGACAGAAAGUUGCCCUCAUUCUAGACAAGCUUAUCACCAUGACAAUAGAGGAAGAAGAGAUGUACCCAUCAAUUCAGGCAAAGAUCUGGGGCAAUAUUGGUCAGAUUGCUGAUCUUCUCGAUAUGGUGCUUGACAGUUUCAUAAAGCGAAGUGUCACUGGUGGUUUGGGCUCCAUACAAGCUGAGAUUAUGGCCGACACAGCUGUAGCACUGACGUCUGCAAAUGUUCAACUCGUCUCCAGGAAGGUCAUCGGCAGAUUGUGCAGGCUGAUUGACAAGACGUGCACAUCUCCGACCCCGACCCUGGAACAGCAUCUCAUGUGGGAUGAUAUCGCAAUUCUUGCUCGCUACCUCCUCAUGUUGUCUUUCAAUAACUCACUUGAUGUUGCUAGUCAUUUGCCUUUCCUGUUUCACAUCGUGACACUGCUCGUGUCGACGGGUCCACUGUCCUUGAGGGCGUCGACGCACGGUCUAGUCAUCAACAUAAUCCACUCACUGUGCACAUGCUCACAACUACACUUUGGAGAGAACACGCUGCAAGUUCUGAAGAUGAGUUUAGCGGAAUUCUCCCUUCCCAAAUUCUACCAGCUGUUUGGGAUCAGCAAGGUCAAAUCGGCUGCUGUGAGUGCCUUCCGAACCAGCUAUCGUCCCGGCGACCGCUCGUUCACCAUGGCACCGCCGGAGAAUGAGAAGAUGCCGCUUAGCUCCUUGGAGGCCAUUGCUGAUGCCCUGCUAGAGAUUAUGGAGGCAUGUAUGAAAGAUAACCCUGGUUGUGAUUGGCUACAACAGUGGACAGACUUAGCAAGACGAUUUGCGUUCCAGUACAACCCUGCUCUACAGCCGAGAGCGAUCAUCGUGUUCGGGUGUAUCAGCAAGUCUGUGACGGACUCCGAGGUCAAACAGCUACUGAAGAUCAUGAUGAAGGGGAGACCACCCUACUCUUUGACUUUCACUCACGCCUGUACAUUGCCGAGUUUUGGCGAGAAGUCUGAAAAUCUGCAAGAUCAAGCUGGAUUGAGGAGGGCACAACCAGCUUGUAUGGAGGCCCUGGAGUCGUACACUGAUCUGACCUUGAUUGAAGCAGUUGUCAUGUGCCUAACGAGACUGCAGCCUUUGCUCAAACCAGAGUCUCCUAUCCACAAGUUUCUGUUCUGGGUUGCGAUCUCGGUUUUACAGUUAGAUGAAGUGUCUUUGUAUGCUGCCGGCCUCGCCCUCAUUGAGCAGAAUCUCCACACACUCGACAACAUGGGACUCUUCGACAAAGUGUCUCUUGAGAAGUGUAUAAUGGAGACGCGUGAACCACUGGAGUGGCACUUCAAGCAGCUCGACCACUAUGUCGGCCUGAGCUUCACGACAAACUUCAACUUUGCCCUCGUUGGCCACCUCUUGAAGGGAUUCCGACAUCCAUCGCCGACCACGGUGUCGCGAACCAUCCGCGUUCUACACCAGCUGCUGAGCAUCACCGUGAAGCCAACAGGGAGGGACAAGUUCGAGGUCACAACCCAGACUGUCGCCUAUCUAGCAGCCCUGGUGUCUGUAUCGGAGGAGGUUCGCAGUCGCUGCCACCUGAAGCACCGUCCCGCUAACUACAUGAUCUCAGAAUCUCCGUCAUCCGACAGUCUGAUUGCCGAACUCAACUCGCAGGGGACGUCGGCAUCAGCCCCUGUGUCGGUGUUGUCGGUGUCAAUACCAUCCACACAGGGUCCCCUUCUCCCUGUCGCCACGCCCCUCGCUCGGCGACAGAAGAGCUGUGACCUGCUCGAUCAGACUGCCAUAGCCAUGGCCAGGAUGCAGAAAAAUACACAACUCUCACAUAGUCAGCAGGUUAACAGUCCCAAGGUUUGGAGAAGCCUUGACUGUGAGCCGAACGCGCGACCACCUCUGUGCAAAACACGCAGUAGCUCCAUGCCGACCCCUGGAACCAAGAAGAUGGACCCCAACACAUCGGUGCUGCCAGUGCCGCGGAGUGGCCGCAGUUCCGUGUCAAACGAGAACAACGUCCUGCUGGAUCCAGACAUUCUCGUCGAUUAUCCAACACAGGCCCUCGUUCUCACUGUGCUGGCCACCUUGGUGCGUAACACAACUGAUGAGAAUGAAGCACGCAUAAUAUAUGAGUAUUUGGCAGAAGCAUCUGUCGUUUUUCCAAAAGUCUUUCCUGUCAUUCACAGUUUGCUGGAUGCCAAGAUCAACAAUGUAUUGUCACUGUGUCACGACCAGGCUAUACUGAAUGCUGUACAGAGCAUCAUUCAGAACAUGAUAGCCUGUGAAGACGCCUCACAACAGCAGCUGUCGUAUCUUCAAAGUAUUGGCUUCGGUGGACUCUGGAGAUUCGCAGGAACAUUUACUAAGGUUAGUUUGAAGUGGAGUGGAGUGGAAGUGAUCACCCACCUUUCCUGGUGAAGACUAGCAAAUGUUUUUGAUAACCAGCGAAGAUGUAUUUGGUCUUACUUGAUUCAUCUGGGAGUAGUGAUACAGCAGAACUUUUUGUGAACUGUUUAGAAAAAGCCAUGAUCAUGGAAUCGUGUCUCCCUGGUGACGACCUUGACAUUCUCAAUCCGUACCCGAGCUGUCUUGGCAUUUCAUCGA
Molecule: unclassified non-coding RNA, 8321 nt
Filed under: Gigantopelta aegis
Lineage: Eukaryota; Metazoa; Mollusca; Gastropoda; Neomphalida; Peltospiridae
Description: neurofibromin-like, transcript variant X2
Source: RNAcentral